AGCAGCCGCGGUAAUUCCAGCUCCAAUAGCGUAUAUUAAAGUUGCUGCAGUUAAAAAGCUCGUAGUUGAAUUUCGGGAUCAAUUCGUCGGUCGUGCUUUUUGUACGUACUGGUGUUAUUGGUUUCUCCUUUCUGACGAACCAUGAUGUCAUUAAUUUGGUGUUAUGGGGAGUUAGGACUGUUACUUUGAAAAAAUUAGAGUGUUUAAAGCAGGCUCACGCUUGAAUACAUUAGCAUGGAAUAAUGAAAUAGGACGUUUGAUUCUAUUUUGUUGGUUUCUAGGAUUGACGUAAUGAUUAAUAGGGAUAGUUGGGGGGCAUUAGUAUUCAAUUGUCAGAGGUGAAAUUCUUGGAUUUAUUGAAGACUAACUACUGCGAAAGCAUUUGCCAAGGAUGUUUUUCAUUAAUCAAGAACGAAAGUUAGGGGAUCGAAGACGAUCAGAUACCGUCGUAGUCUUAACCAUAAACUAUGCCGACUAGGGAUCGGAUGAUGUUAAUUUUUUUAAUGACUCAUUCGGCGCC
This 520-nucleotide ribosomal RNA is filed under the name uncultured Glomus. RNAcentral describes it as "SSU rRNA". It matches the Rfam family "Eukaryotic small subunit ribosomal RNA", at positions 569 to 1087 of the family's 1831-position model. Lineage: Eukaryota; Fungi; Glomeromycota; Glomeromycetes; Glomerales; Glomeraceae. The record is from RNAcentral.